AUGAACUUGAGAGUUUGAUCCUGGCUCAGAACGAACGCUGGCGGCAUGCCUAACACAUGCAAGUCGAACGAGACCUUC
RNAcentral lists this ribosomal RNA (78 nucleotides) under Sandarakinorhabdus sp. RNAcentral describes it as "partial 16S ribosomal RNA". It matches the Rfam family "Bacterial small subunit ribosomal RNA", at positions 1 to 76 of the family's 1533-position model. The record is from RNAcentral. Lineage: Bacteria; Pseudomonadati; Pseudomonadota; Alphaproteobacteria; Sphingomonadales; Sphingosinicellaceae.